Non-coding RNA from Odocoileus virginianus texanus, 866 nucleotides. NCBI's taxonomy places the organism in Eukaryota, Metazoa, Chordata, Mammalia, Artiodactyla, Cervidae. The record is from RefSeq and is a predicted model, not a curated record.
GUAAAGGGUGGUAUGCUAAUCAAGACCAGCCUCUGAAGUGAAAAGUAGAAAGCUGAAGAGCCAACUGUUUUCUCGGCAACUCCCUUCAACGUGCCAUAGGUUCAACACAUACGACUGACCUCCUGGCCGUCCACUGUCGCCGUCUUCUUUGAGAAUGAAAGCUCCUUCAGGACAGGGGCCUUGUCCUCCACUGCGCCCCAAGUGCCUAGCACUGCCUCUGUCAUCUAGUGGGCGCUGAACAAAUGUCCUAAACGUCACUGAACUCCUUACAGACUAAUCAGUCCUCGAAAAUCACGUUAGAAAUCGAAGAGUCACUCCAAUUGCUUCCUUUAAUUUGUCCCUGGAGUGAAGAGACUGCCGCAUCGGGUUGAUUCUAUGCGUGCAACGUCUUCCACGUUUAUCUUCCCUGGUGUGCACUAGCAGCAUGCUCACUCUAUCUCAGCUGCUUCCUAACUGGUCUCCUCAUUCUUCCAAAUCCCCUUCCAAACUUGCACCAGGGUUUGUUCCCAAAUACACGAGCUCCAGAGGUUCCAAGAUCUUCACGUCAGAGUCAAAGCUCUCAGGGACCUGGCCAUAACCCAUCUUGCUAGUCUCACUUCACCGUGCUGCCCCGUCCGUCCUCUGCUCCAGCUCCAUGUUCUGUUACAGAGAGCACAGUUCCUGCCUCUCAAAGUCCCAUGGAAAGCUGGCAGUCAAACAGGUCAUUCACAUACCAGACACAGACUGAGACUGAAUACGUGCGGAGCAUACCUUUCUGACUACUCACAGCCAAUGUUCAACAAGCUCUUCUAAGACUCUUAUGACCUGGGAAAAAACACUCAACGAUGAGCAACUAUCUAUGUAAUAAAGCAAAAAAGUAUCUAUUA